CACCGGUGGCCCGAGUGGUAAUCACUAUUAUUGGGUCUAAAGGGUCCGUAGCCGGUUUAAUCAGUCUUCCGGGAAAUCUGACAGCUCAACUGUUAGGCUUC
This 101-nucleotide ribosomal RNA is filed under the name uncultured archaeon. Its description in RNAcentral is "partial 16S ribosomal RNA". It matches the Rfam family "Archaeal small subunit ribosomal RNA", at positions 474 to 574 of the family's 1478-position model. The record is from RNAcentral.